GCCUCUGUCAGGAGGGCGACAAAGACCACUAAAUGGGUGCACCUGGACUGAACAGACCACGAUCUCGAGGCUGCCAGUUUUCCCUAAAGAUUCCUUAGUUGAUAGCAGUGUAAGCUAUUUUCAUCAUGAGGAAGAGCACACUGGAGAUAAUGAACUGAACUAAUGUAGCCCUUCUGCCAUGGCAGUGAAUGCUGUAUUAGGAGCAAAGAGACAAAUGGUGGGUUCUCAAUGCUGUUCAAGUUUCAACCAUGAUUCCUGUGAUCAAAAAAUUUAUGGCUGCAUCUAUGUGUAGGAACCAGUAACAGAUACUGGAGUGGACUUCAGCUUCUGCCACAGUGAAGAUUAUCAUAAUGACUCUGUCAGGAAAGAGACCAAGACUGGACAUACUUGAGAUGAUUUAACCAUCUUCCAUGAUCCCAAGCCCUUUGGUUGCCUCUAUACAUUCAUUAGAAGUAUGGAGGCCAGUUACUCCGCAGAAUGGAUGCCCUUGAGCUGACUUAAGCAUCUUCCACGGUCU
RNAcentral lists this long non-coding RNA (517 nucleotides) under Bos taurus (domestic cattle). RNAcentral's name for it is "partial LINC24065-V2". Lineage: Eukaryota; Metazoa; Chordata; Mammalia; Artiodactyla; Bovidae. The record is from RNAcentral.